CCUACGGGUGGCAGCAGUGAGGAAUCUUCCACAAUGGGCGAAAGCCUGAUGGAGCAACGCCGCGUGAAGGAUGAAGGCCUUCGGGUUGUAAACUUCUUUUAUGAGUGAAGAAUAUGACGGUAACUCAUGAAUAAGCACCGGCUAACUACGUGCCAGCAGCCGCGGUCAUACGUAGGGUGCAAGCAUUAUCCGGAGUGACUGGGCGUAAAGAGUUGCGUAGGCGGUUUAAUAAGUGAAUAGUGAAACCUGGUGGCUCAACCAUACAGACUAUUAUUCAAACUGUUAAACUCGAGAAUGGUAGAGGUAACUGGAAUUUCUUGUGUAGGAGUGAAAUCCGUAGAUAUAAGAAGGAACACCGAUGGCGUAGGCAGGUGACUGGACCAUUUCUGACGCUAAGGCACGAAAGCGUGGGGAGCGAACCGGAUUAGAUACCCCGGUAGUC
RNAcentral lists this ribosomal RNA (442 nucleotides) under uncultured Candidatus Saccharibacteria bacterium. RNAcentral describes it as "bacterial SSU rRNA". It matches the Rfam family "Bacterial small subunit ribosomal RNA", at positions 338 to 795 of the family's 1533-position model. The record is from RNAcentral. Lineage: Bacteria; Candidatus Saccharimonadota.